CCUACGGGGGGCAGCAGUGGGGAAUAUUGGGCAAUGGGCGCAAGCCUGACCCAGCAACGCCGCGUGAAGGAAGAAGGCUUUCGGGUUGUAAACUUCUUUUAAGAGGGAAGAGCAGAAGACGGUACCUCUUGAAUAAGCCACGGCUAACUACGUGCCAGCAGCCGCGGUAAUACGUAGGUGGCAAGCGUUGUCCGGAUUUACUGGGUGUAAAGGGCGUGCAGCCGGGCUUACAAGUCAGAUGUGAAAUCCUGCGGCUCAACCGCAGAACUGCAUUUGAAACUGUAGGUCUUGAGUACUGGAGAGGC
This 305-nucleotide ribosomal RNA is filed under the name uncultured bacterium. RNAcentral's name for it is "bacterial SSU rRNA". It matches the Rfam family "Bacterial small subunit ribosomal RNA", at positions 338 to 658 of the family's 1533-position model. The record is from RNAcentral.